RNA transcript from Dermacentor albipictus, 1565 nucleotides. RefSeq lists it as uncharacterized. The record is from RefSeq and is a predicted model, not a curated record. NCBI's taxonomy places the organism in Eukaryota, Metazoa, Arthropoda, Arachnida, Ixodida, Ixodidae.
UACGUGUCCAGAAAAGCUGGAUAUGGUGCACUUAGCUCUGUGCCGGUUGAGGCUGGAAACUAUACGCGAUGUCUACCCAGCGUGGUUAAAGAGCAAUGGAGGUUUGUUGACUCCGCGCUGAGGGAAAAUCCGCAGUGCAACUCGGCGUAUGCUCGCUACCGCUUCGAGAGUCACGCAAGCCACCGGCGGUACACAAUGGCCGCCGUGCCAGACAGCGCCGCCGGCCACUGCGCCCGGGCGCGGACGAAAUGAGAGGAACGCGUGCCUUGGCCCGAUCCACGUUACGUCAGUGGCUGGCGUGCGCGGCGGAGGCCGUUCCGGCAGCCAGCGAUGGGAUUCCGGAGCUCCACGGGCCCGUGUCCAGCGGGGCAAGGACGCUGCGUUGCGCCACUUUCGAGGUCAGAUACCAGUACGGUGUAUCUUCCGGCCCGACAAGGCUCAGGUAGCCGUGCUACUGGUAACGACAAUGGCGUUUUUUACGACCGAAGUUCAGGGUCAAGUAGAGGGUCCACCUGGAAGAGCCAGAAAAUGGUCCCCAAGUUCUCAAGCAACCCGCAUGUCGCGGCCUCCCAGCAGACGAAACUGGAAACAAUUAUGCGGAGACCGUUAUCAUCGCCUAAUUUGAAUUUAUCGGUGGCACGUCGCGCACAGGACGGCUUAAGGGGAGCGAAUCGCCACUCGCAGAAAUCCCAGGGUCUCGUCGCAGUUGCUGGAGUGCCCUACUACCCUCUAGCCGUGGGCUUUCACAGGGUUUAUACGAUCCCGUACCCGUGGGCAUAUUACGCUGUCUAUCCCUCAUGGAGACCUCCGGCGACCCCGGCGACCCCUGCGACCCCUGUGGUCAAUGUACCUGUCGUUGUGCACGUUCACCCCCACGUUGUACCAGUUCAAGUGACUACAUUUGUCUCGAACACGGAUGGUGGCGUGGGCUUUGCACUUGGUGACGGCUCAGGAGUAGCAGGUUCAAACAAUCCGACCAAUGACGAUGGCAUUGAUGCUGGCUUUGUGCCUACCUACGGCUGUGGCACAGCCAAGGCUGCUAACUGCCGAAGCUGAGAAAUAAUUAAAAGAUGUGAUCGCAUGUGCUUUUUCUGGCAGAACAUGUUAUUUAAAAGUUAAUAUAUGCUUUUUUCAUGAAACCAAUCAGCAUUCAACUAGACACUUAAUUAAGCAUACGGAGGUUGAUGAAGAUAGAGGUGUUGCUGAGAGGUGUUACUUCGCUGUGACACAUACAGCUGUAACAGUAAUUUUUUCCGUGCAAUACGACUGUGAUUCGUUUAAUGAAUGAGAGUGGGCAUAACUACGCUAGAUGAUGGGAUGUUAUCUCUCUUUCCUUUAGCAGGUUUGUUUAUCUAAGUCAUCAAUCUCUACUCACCCCUCGUCACAUCGUAGAAGCAAUAAUCCCGAGGGUUUGCGACAUGUACUACCGACUGAACACGCCUACAGCUGUAGCAAAAAUGCUGCUAAGCAAUAUACUGAUGUAUCAUCCUUGUGUGGUCUGUCCUGUUCCGCUACCAUCGGGCCACUAUACUUACAAGUUUCGCAAUAAAUAGUUUGUUCGCAUA